This is a long non-coding RNA of Oreochromis aureus, 951 nucleotides long. The record is from Ensembl. Lineage: Eukaryota; Metazoa; Chordata; Actinopteri; Cichliformes; Cichlidae.
CAAGAAGGGAGUUUUUCCUUCCCACUGUUGCUGAGUGUUUGCUCAUAGUGGGUUGUAAAAGCAUAAAAGUUAAUAAGAGACAUUCAUAGCAGAGUUAUCACAGCGGGAACUAUAUAGCUUAAAUGUACAAUUUCUACAGGACGAAUUAUAACUUCAUUAUGUAUAAAAGCUCCUGUGGAUAAUUACUCCUAUUUGUAACUUUACACAAGAGAAAGUUUGCUGUCACACUAUUUACAACAGGUUGGAUUUUGUCCUCUGAGUUGAGCCUUUGGUUGCAGUUUAUUGAAGAAUUUCCUCUAAAGUAGCUGUUGAUAAAGAUUUAAAGUCCUGUUUAUAUACAGAAAUAUGCUUUAGUUCAUGUUUUUUUACAUGUCUGCCUCAGUGGAUCAGUAGAAGAUCUGGCACAGGAAACUAGAUGAUGAAAAAAGGGGCGGAACUCAUGGUGGGUUCACGCCCUCGGCCCACGCCCCUCUGAAGAGGAAACACCUGGGCCUCAUCAGUGCAGCCAGCAUUUAAGCCAGGGAGUGGCUUCUUCUCAUCGCUGGAUCGUUGUGUGUGACUCGCAUCCCCUGGACCCGACUCUGCAUUCCCCGAGCGGAUUCCCUUUUUGUGUGAGUGUUUGGAGAGAGAGUCAGAAGAGGAGCAAGUGUCUUUCCCCUACCUGGAUUUCCCCGGAGCCUUUUCCCUGUCACCGCUUUGUAUAUAGCACUAUCCCCUGCACUGUUUGUAUAUACACCUGGUGGAACUGUAAUAAAUACUGACUGUGCCUCUGAGUCCUGCGUGUGAGUCCUCAAGCGAACCGUGACACCCACACAGAUGAGAGCUUAGCAGUGAAGCUCUCUCUUAAAAUUGGAGUUAUAAAGUCAGAUUUUAUCACUGACAGAGAUCCAUGUUCUUUUAACAUAAAGAAUAUUUGCUGAAAUUGACAUUAAUCCAAGCCCUUAAAACGCC